CAAAAGCGUAUAUUAAAGUUGUUGCAGUUAAAAAGCUCGUAGUUGAACCUUGGGCUUGGCUGGCCGGUCCAUCUUUUUUGAUGCGUACUGGACCCAGCCGAGCCUUUCCCUCUGGCUAGCCUUUUGGCGAACCAGGACUUUUACUUUGAAAAAAUUAGAGUGUUCAAAGCAGGCCUUUGCUCGAAUAUAUUAGCAUGGAAUAAUAGAAUAGGACGUUAUGGUUCUAUUUUGUUGGUUUCUAGGACCAUCGUAAUGAUUAAUAGGGACGGUCGGGGGUAUCAGUAUUCAGUUGUCAGAGGUGAAAUUCUUGGAUUUACUGAAGACUAACUACUGCGAAAGCAUUUACCAAGGACGUUUUCAUUAA
Molecule: ribosomal RNA, 364 nt
Filed under: uncultured eukaryote
Lineage: Eukaryota
Description: partial 18S ribosomal RNA
Rfam family: Eukaryotic small subunit ribosomal RNA
Source: RNAcentral